UGGGGAAUAUUGCACAAUGGGCGAAAGCCUGAUGCAGCAACGCCGCGUGCGGGAUGACGGCCUUCGGGUUGUAAACCGCUUUCAGCAGGGACGAAGGUUUUCUGACGGUACCUGCAGAAGAAGCACCGGCUAACUACGUGCCAGCAGCCGCGGUGAUACGUAGGGUGCGAGCGUUGUCCGGAAUUAUUGGGCGUAAAGGGCUUGUAGGCGGUCCGUUGCGUCGGAAGUGAAAACUCAGGGCUUAACCCUGAGCCUGCUUUCGAUACGGGCGGACUUGAGGGAUGUAGGGGAGAACGGAAUUCCUGGUGGAGCGGUGGAAUGCGCAGAUAUCAGGAGGAACACCAGUGGCGAAGGCGGUUCUCUGGACAUUUCCUGACGCUGAGAAGCGAAAGCGUGGGGAGCAAACAGGCUUAGAUACCCUGGUAGUCCACGCCGUAAACGGUGGGCACUAGGUGUGGGACCCAUUCCACGGGUUCCGUGCCGUAGCUAACGCAUUAAGUGCCCCGCCUGGGG
This 513-nucleotide ribosomal RNA is filed under the name uncultured bacterium. RNAcentral describes it as "partial 16S ribosomal RNA". It matches the Rfam family "Bacterial small subunit ribosomal RNA", at positions 355 to 878 of the family's 1533-position model. The record is from RNAcentral.